This 207-nucleotide ribosomal RNA is filed under the name uncultured bacterium. RNAcentral's name for it is "partial 16S ribosomal RNA". It matches the Rfam family "Bacterial small subunit ribosomal RNA", at positions 568 to 774 of the family's 1533-position model. The record is from RNAcentral.
CGUGUAGGCGGCCCUGCAAGUCGGGUGUGAAAUCCCAUGGCUCAACCAUGGAAGUGCAUUCGAAACUGCAGGGCUAGAGUCCUGGAGAGGAAGGUGGAAUGCUUGGUGUAGAGGUGAAAUUCGUAGAUAUCAAGCGGAACACCGGUGGCGAAGGCGGCCUUCUGGACAGUGACUGACGCUGAGACGCGAAAGCGUGGGGAGCAAACA